GGCGGACGGGUGAGUAACGCGUGGGUAACCUACCCUGUACAGGGGGAGUAACAGUCAGAAAUGACUGCUAAUACCGCAUAAGCGCACAGGAUUGCAUGAUCUGGUGUGAAAAACUCCGGUGGUAUAAGAUGGACCCGCGUCUGAUUAGCCAGUUGGUGGGGUAACGGCCUACCAAAGCGACGAUCAGUAGCCGACCUGAGAGGGUGACCGGCCACAUUGGGACUGAGACACGGCCCAAACUCCUACGGGAGGCAGCAUG
Molecule: ribosomal RNA, 259 nt
Filed under: uncultured bacterium
Lineage: Bacteria
Description: partial 16S ribosomal RNA
Rfam family: Bacterial small subunit ribosomal RNA
Source: RNAcentral